Long non-coding RNA from Myotis myotis, 555 nucleotides. RefSeq lists it as uncharacterized. Lineage: Eukaryota; Metazoa; Chordata; Mammalia; Chiroptera; Vespertilionidae. The transcript is spliced from 3 exons. The record is from RefSeq and is a predicted model, not a curated record.
CUUGCCAUCCAUGACCGGCUUUGCGGUGGUUACCAUUAGUUACCACUAGGGGCGCCCUGCGGGACCCCGAAGAACAUUUGGUCUUGGAGCAGGACUCUCUUACCCAGUUACUCUCUCUCUCCUGCCUUCACCGAUCAACUCCUCCAGACUACUCAGGAUCAUCUAACAAGCCGGAUUAAUGUCCUGGGACCCAUCAUAAAGACUGCAGCCUUCAGACACACUGUCAGCAUGUUGGGACUCUGCAAGCAGACAGAAGAGAAAGACUUCCCUGCUAAUUGAAGAAACAAAAAAUCAUGUGUGAACUGACUGUGGAGAGGGCCACAUGGCCAGGAACUGGGAAACCUCUGGAUGCUGAGAGAGAGCAGGAAAAUGGGGACCUCAGACCCAUAGCUGUAAGAUGAACCCUGUUGACAACCUAAAGGAGCCCGGAAGCAGAUUCCCCCCCAGCUAAGCAUCUGAUCAGACUGCAGCCCUGCAGACACCUGGAUUGCAGCCUUGUGGGAACCUGCGCAUAGGCACGGAAGCUGUGUGUCCCUGAACUCCUGGCCCAUGGAA